GCCUAACACAUGCAAGUCGAGCGGAUGACGGGAGCUUGCUCCUUGAUUCAGCGGCGGACGGGUGAGUAAUGCCUAGGAAUCUGCCUGGUAGUGGGGGACAACGUUUCGAAAGGAACGCUAAUACCGCAUACGUCCUACGGGAGAAAGCAGGGGACCUUCGGGCCUUGCGCUAUCAGAUGAGCCUAGGUCGGAUUAGCUAGUUGGUGGGGUAAUGGCUCACCAAGGGCGACGAUCCGUAACUGGUCUGAGAGGAUGAUCAGUCACACUGGAACUGAGACACGGUCCAGACUCCUACGGGAGGCAGCAGUGGGGAAUAUUGGACAAUGGGCGAAAGCCUGAUCCAGCCAUGCCGCGUGUGUGAAGAAGGUCUUCGGAUUGUAAAUGCACUUUAAGUUGGGAGGAAGGGCAGUAAGCUAAUACCUUGCUAGUUUUGACGUUACCGACAGAAUAAGCACCGGCUAACUCUGUGCCAGCAGCCGCGGUAAUACAGAGGGUGCAAGCGUUAUUCGGCAAUUAC
RNAcentral lists this ribosomal RNA (517 nucleotides) under uncultured bacterium. Its description in RNAcentral is "bacterial SSU rRNA". It matches the Rfam family "Bacterial small subunit ribosomal RNA", at positions 46 to 554 of the family's 1533-position model. The record is from RNAcentral.